AGGGACUUAGGAUAACAUAGUCCAAGGGCCUUCAAAGUCCUCAGCGGGGGUGAAAAUCCCCCAGACCCUG
This 70-nucleotide transfer RNA is filed under the name Thunnus alalunga (albacore). Its description in RNAcentral is "tRNA-Trp". It matches the Rfam family "tRNA". From Rfam's summary of the family: Transfer RNA (tRNA) molecules are approximately 80 nucleotides in length. Their secondary structure includes four short double-helical elements and three loops (D, anti-codon, and T loops). Further hydrogen bonds mediate the characteristic L-shaped molecular structure. tRNAs have two regions of fundamental functional importance: the anti-codon, which is responsible for specific mRNA codon recognition, and the 3' end, to which the tRNAs corresponding amino acid is attached (by aminoacyl-tRNA synthetases). tRNAs cope with the degeneracy of the genetic code in two manners: having more than one tRNA (with a specific anti-codon) for a particular amino acid; and 'wobble' base-pairing, i.e. permitting non-standard base-pairing at the 3rd anti-codon position. RNAcentral also lists the same sequence under 8 other names. Lineage: Eukaryota; Metazoa; Chordata; Actinopteri; Scombriformes; Scombridae. The record is from RNAcentral.